UGCGCAGUGAACUCAAAACAGACUGGGCAGUGGGAGGAGGCCGCUGAGCGCGGCGCGAGGAACCAUGGAGGCCGUGAAGACUGAAGCAGAGGCGGCCGCCGGAGAGGUUUUGGCAGAGGUGGCAGACAUCCUGGAACCUAUAGGCCUGCAGGAGGAGACAGAACUGCCAGCUCAGAUCAUGGCUGAGUUUGUGAUGGACUCCCGGAAGAAAGACAAGUUGCUCUGUAGCCAGCUUCAGGUAGUGGACUUCCUGCAGAACUUUCUAGCUCAGGAGGACACUUCGAAGGGCCUUGCCCACUUGGAUUCUGAAGAUACAAGCCGACAGAAGGCAGUGAUAGCCAAGGAACAGUGGAAAGACCUGAAGGCCACUUACCAGGAGCACGUGGAGGCCAUCACAGGUGCCCUGACCCAGGUUCUGUCCCAAGUGGAGGAGGCCCAAAGAAAGAGGACACAGCUUCAGGAAGCCCUUACACAGCUCCAGGCCAAGAAACAAAUGGCCAUAGAGAAAUUCAGAACAGCCCAGAAGCAGCGGCAGCUACAACAGGAGAAGCAUCUGCAACAUCUGGCAAAGGUUUCCGAAGAGGUGAGGGAACAUCAGGCAGGAACUCGGCAGGCGCUUGAGCAGCUAAGUCAGGAACUUGGAACCCUGAAGCAGCAGGCAGGACGUGCGCGGGACAAGCUGCAGAGUCACCAGAAGUACCUCCAGCUGCUAUAUACACUGCAGGGUAAGUCGCUUCUCACCGAGGCAGAGGCGCAGCUACCACAGGACGGCCCUGAAGAUAAGCCCCAGCGGCUGACCCAGCCCCGGGAGCAAAACACUGAGGAGGUCCUGGGGAGAGCCCCUGCUGUGUCUUCUAAGGUGUCUUAGAGACAGAUCAGAUGAGCAGUAAUGUUCAACAAUAACCAGAGAUUAUUGGAAUUUAAAGUAUACUGCUGGUGGUGGUGACUUGAAGAAUAGAAGUAGUUAGUGAAAUAAAUGUUAUAAACAAUAAAAAGGAAGAGCUAAUAAAUAUUCAGGACUCAUUUAUUUCCAUUAUGAAGACACCUGGAAGCUACAGGAAACUCAUCUAACUUUGUUGCAGUACUGAUUGCUAUCAGCAGUUUGCUAUUUUUUAACUUGUGUUUCCUGUUUAUUUGUAAAGAAGUAAAUGACAAGUUGUUUUAAUUUUAAAUUUCAUAUCAAGAACAGCAUUUACUUUUAGUGCUGCUUUAAAAUUUAAGAGAUGCUUACUUAUUGAAUGUUUUGGUUUGAUAGUAUUACAGUUUUAUUAGGAGAAUAGUGUACUUUUGUUUAGUCUUGGUUGAAGUCUGUGUAAUAUUGCCUAAUAGUUAAUUAUAUGACAUUACAUUAUACAUAACUAUAUGCAAUAUAAACUUAGAAAACUUAAAAAUUUAAUAUAAGGAAUCAUUGUCUUUAUCGAAGUACAAAUGCUUGACAAGAAAUCUGUAUAAAGAAUCUCCGCCUUUGUAAUGAAUCCUCCAAAGGUUCCAUGAAGUUUUAUACCUCGGCCCUCAGUCUAUGGUUUAGCAGUUUCUCUAACCCUUUGAACUAUCUUAUAUUAACAUAAGAUGUUUAAUCUCAUUGUUUUUAUUGUGUGUUUUUGUAAAAGAAACCAAACUCCUAGUAGUUCUAAUACUUUGGAACACUAGUUGCCUCUUCUUUUGGAAUUGUUUU
This is an RNA transcript of Tupaia belangeri chinensis (Chinese tree shrew), 1675 nucleotides long. It is a transcript of the gene named ZW10 interacting kinetochore protein, with no coding region annotated. The record is from RefSeq and is a predicted model, not a curated record. The transcript is spliced from 10 exons. NCBI's taxonomy places the organism in Eukaryota, Metazoa, Chordata, Mammalia, Scandentia, Tupaiidae.